This is a long non-coding RNA of Amphiprion ocellaris (clown anemonefish), 862 nucleotides long. RefSeq lists it as uncharacterized. The record is from RefSeq and is a predicted model, not a curated record. The transcript is spliced from 3 exons. Lineage: Eukaryota; Metazoa; Chordata; Actinopteri; Pomacentridae.
AGCAGUCCCUCACUUCUAAUACUACUCUGCAUAUAGAGACCACGCGAUAGCUCCCAGUGAACAGGAGGAUUUUAUUCGAGGAAGUCAGACAGAGAAACACUAAACCUGACACUGAAACGGGGCGACAGCUCUGUGUCUCGUAGAAGAUUUAUUUUCAAAGCUACAUGUGUGACGGUAAUAAUCCAUGCCAGAGCAGACCUCAUUAGCACUUCCGCUAGGUCGACUAACCUUUCCGGUCACUCCAGGGACGCUGUUGUCGAGUGAAAGUAGCAGUUCCUCCUUAAGGUCUCAGAUUGCUGCAUCUGAGGGUCUCUUCAAUAGAAGACGUAGUUGAUGAAGACGUUCUGGAGCAGGACCAGAAAGACCACGACCAAGCAGCCUUGAGAUCUUAGGCAGCUUCUCCCUCAGGUCCCUCUCUAUCUCCCCACACAUCCACCAACCACUGGAACACAUCUCCAAAGUUCUGCAGGGCCAGCUCAGCUUCCCCUCAGAAGAAGUGCUGCCACCUGCCAGAUGAAGGAGCCUUUUGAGAGGCAGCUGGCAUCGUGAUUGGACUGUACUUUUGUCUGUUCCAAUCCAGCUUCAGCUCCAGAGACGGCAGGCGGGACGAGUCAACGGAGGCCGGAUGGACGAAGGCAUGCAGCUGAGUACAAUCCAGAAAACAACAGAGGAGGAAUGCAGCGGCUCAGUAUAGCCUUCGGUAUGAAAAAACACCAUCAUAUACAUUGUAUAUUGUACAAAUAACAAGUCAAAGGAAAGAGACAUACAUUGUAGAAUUGUAGUAAUUGUGGCCUGACUGAUUUACUGAUUAUCAGUAUUUUAUUUUUUACUGAUUUACGGUAAUAAAUCAAUUUAAAAAUGG